Long non-coding RNA from Micropterus dolomieu (smallmouth bass), 3108 nucleotides. RefSeq lists it as uncharacterized. NCBI's taxonomy places the organism in Eukaryota, Metazoa, Chordata, Actinopteri, Centrarchiformes, Centrarchidae. The record is from RefSeq and is a predicted model, not a curated record. The transcript has 2 exons.
CGUAACAUUGUUGACAAUGAUGAAUGCGGAACUCAAGACACAGGCUUUCAGCCUUGGCGAGCUGGAUGCAAUCAUGUAAAUGGCGUAUUUUACUUCCCAUGCUUGCUUUUUACAACGGCGGGGAUGGAUACAACGUGGACUGUUACAGGAGUAAACGACACGAUACAUUUAUCUGAGAAGAUUAAGAAACAUGAGUGUAUAAGGGCACAUAUGGAUAAUACGGUGAAGCUAGCCAUGCUAGGUAGAGUUAACAUGCUACACAGCUGGACGAAGGCCACAGGAUUGUCAGUUCUUAAAGAUUACAUUCUGGAGGAAGUAAAAAAUGCUGAAUAUUUUGCUAUUCAGGCAGAUGAGAUAAUUGACAUUUCCACCCACUGCCAGUUGGUGCUUGUGCUAUGGUAACGUUACAUCAACAAGGAGAACAACAGCGGUUGGCCACAGAGUUUAUCAGGCUCCGGGUUGAAGUGGAUGCAGGCAAUGUCUUCCAGCUCCUUCUGGGGGUUUCCAAGGAGUUCCCAAUCUAGGUGAAAUAUAGAACUUCUCCAGCCCUGGCACUUUGGGUCCCUUAAAUACACGUACAGUACUAUUCCACCAAACCACUACAAAGCUGAACAGUAAGUGCCGUGGACGUGUGUACCAGUGCAAGUUACCCAAAGUACUCACUCACUCUUGACUGAUUCCCUGGUGAUCAGAAGUGGCUGUGGAGUACACAACAUCCAUACUCAAGUAGUCUACCUUGUUGUUCCUCUCUAUCUGUCGCCUCCACUGCUACGUCAACAACCUGGCUUGACUAGGCAAUGGCAUGGGGACAGAGGGAGAGAUUAUUAUAAUUAAUUGGGCGGGUUUAACAUGAUUAUAAAUUCAGAUCCAGAAGUGUUGGAAUUCCCAGACGAAGAUGUGCAAAAAGCUGUACAAUAUAAACAAGACCACUAUUGCAUAAAUGUCUAUUGUCUAAAGGUUAAUGAAUAAUAUUUCACAUUUUUGUUUUAUACCUGUUCAGAGAGGAGUAAUAUACCUGUGUAUGUGAUAGGGCAAUGAAAUCAAGGGUGUUCUUGUUUGUUUAGGGAGUUUGAACUACAGCUGACUUCUCUGCAUGUGCACUGGCGUUUACCACAUGAACAUGCAUGCUUACUUGACAGCAGCACUAAACAGUUUGAACACACUGUAGGUGAAGAAAGGUCUAGAGCAGGCUCUCCUCCUUCCACCUGUUGCUACAUAAUAGCUACUGCCUCUGAGCCAGAGCCAUGGCAUCUGAAACAUGAUGCGGUAAAGAUAUAGGGGGAGGGAUGGAGCUGGCCCAGUGAGAGAUGUUAUUGGGCCAACCCAGUGUCAUAAUAGAAAAUGAACCAAUUAGCUGUGGCCCCUGCUUUAUCGACCAAUCGUUAGAAAUUAAUAUAUAUUUGUUGCCAUACCACCAUGGUGCGUCGGUCCACGGGAAAAAACACCCGGUAUGCCAGAUUACUAAUCCACCACUGGUUCUGGCUCUAGCCUGGGGUCUCCUACUAGUUGGAUAUGCCAGGAAAACCUCCAAAGGGCACUCAGAAGGCACCCUUAACAGUAGUCCAGACCAUGUCAACUGACUCCUUUUGACGUGAAGGAACAGUGGCUUUACUCCAAGCUCCCUCUGGAUAUCUCGGAUCCUUACCCAAGUCCAAGGGUGAGCCCAGUCACUCUACGGAGCUACCUCAUUUCAUCUGCUUGUUUCUGCAGUCUUGUUCUUUUGGUCAUUACACAAAGCCCAUGAUUAAAGUGAGUGAGAGUUCGAACAUAGAUGACUGGUAAAUCAAGAGCUGCACCUUCAGGCUCAGUUCCUUCAACUGCAUUGGUCCAGUACAAUGCCUGAAUUACUGCUGACGGUGCACCAAUUCACCUGUCGAACUCACGCUUUCAUUUUACCCUCACUUGUGAGCAAGACCCCAGCAUACUUUAACACUAUUAUUUGGGACAAUGAUUCGCUACCAACCUGACAGGGACUGCUUUCUACUUGCUUUUCUCUUUUUCCUUUCACUUUAGUUUUGAGCUGCUACAAAAAUGAUGGUGCAAACCCACAAUUAUCUUCCUGUGGGAGUCAGGAAGACAAUCAGGAAGACGCCCAGAGAUACAGAAAUAUCCAACCUGUGAAUGUAACUCAGGAAUUCUGUCCCUCCCUCACCGAUCCUAAAUAAGCUCUGGUAGGAGACAGACAGUGUUUUACGUCACAGUUCGGCUUGUUGCUAUAUUUUCCAACCAACAAACCUGACAGAUAAAAGAUGGAUUUUUGGGUAAUAGCAUAAGAGGGAUAAGUGAAGGGAUCUAUGCGGUUAAAAGCUCCGAUGUAAUGAUGCGAAUGGUGCACAAUGCAAUAAUUGAGCCAAUCAAAAAACUCAUCCUUUCUUCAUCUUGUUUUGUGUUUUUGUGUCAUUUGCCCACAGGUUAUACCUUAACUAUCCAACUUUGCUUGCAGUCUGGCAGUAGCACUGCUUCAAAAGUAAAACUCUAAAGUGGUGUCAGAAAAUUUACGUUUUUUUCUUCUUCUUCAUAUUAACCCAUGACUAUUGUGAUACAAUAAAGCUAACCCUGUACGAACAACAUGUGUUGAGCAGCAACAAGCCUUUGAUGUGUAAAAAAGGCCUUUCUGACCACAAAAUGGUUUGGCAAACAAACAGAUAAGACGUAACCAUACAAUUUUAAGAGUGUGUUUGUGAAGUGUUAGAUCUCUCCGACCCUGAUACUCUGGCCAUGUCAACAUGUUUAUCAAGUCAAGUCAGGUUUAUCCAUAAAAAUCCACCAUGAAAGUGCAGACAAGCCUUACUUGAUUUACAGACACUAGUCAACAAACACUUAUCAUCAACAUUGUUAUUGAUUUAUAGCCCAGAUUGUGUGAUAUGUAUUUAUUUUUAUCUUAACCUAUUCAAGAAAAGUCAGCUAAGCACUCUUAUGCUUUUACAGUACCCACAGCUACUGUGUCCUGCGGGUGGACACUGGGAUGCGCCCAGUACAACCACAGUCCUGUACUGUUGGCUGCUCAGCAGCAGCACAACAAAUGUCAGUAGUUUUAAUGUACACAGGCUAAUGAGUUUUGAAAACCACUGACAUAGUUUGACUCAAAUAAAAACACAAAGGACAAGA